UUUUCCGGUUGAUCCCGCCGGACCCCACUGCUAUCGGGAUAGGACUAAGACAUGCUAGUCAGGCGCUCUCAAGCCAAUGUGAGAGUGCGGCGCACAGCUCAGUAACACGUGGCUAACCUGCCCUUAGGACGGGGACACCCCCGGGAAACUGGGGUUAAUCCCCGAUAGGUGAAGAACUCUGGAAUGAGUCUUUGCCCAAAAGACGCUUACACUAUGCUUGUGGGCGCCGCCUAAGGAUGGGGCCGCGACCGAUCAGGUUGUUGGUGAGGCAAAGGCUCACCAAGCCUUUUACCGGUGCGGGCCGUGGGAGCGGGAGCCCGGAGAUGGGCACUGAGACAAGGGCCCAGGCCCUACGGGGCGCAGCAGUCGCGAAAACUUUGCAAUACACGAAAGUGUGACAGGGCUAUCCCGAGUGCCAUCCGCUGAGGAAGGCUUUUACCCAGUGUAGAAAGCUGGGAGAAUAAGGAGAGGGCAAGACUGGUGUCAGCCGCCGCGGUAAUACCAGCUCUCCGAGUGGUGUGGAUGUUUAUUGGGCCUAAAGCAUCCGUAGCUGGCUGGGCAAGUCCCCUGUUAAAUCCACCGAUUCAAUCGUUGGUGUGCGGGGGAUACUGUUCGGUUAGGGGACGGGAGAGGCCGACGGUAUUUUCGGGGUAGGGGUGAAAUCCUAUAAUCCCGGGAAGACCACCAGUGGCGAAGGCUGUCGGCUAGAACGCGCCCAACGGUGAGGGAUGAAAGCUGGGGGAGCGAACCGGAUUAGAUACCCGGGUAGUCCCAGCUGUAAACGAUGCAGGCUAGGUGUUUGGGCGGCCACGCGCUGCUCUAGUGCCGCAAAGAAGUUGUUAAGCCUGCCGCCUGGGGAGUACGGCCGCAAGGCUGAAACUUAAAGGAAUUGGAAUCACUAGU
Molecule: ribosomal RNA, 903 nt
Filed under: uncultured archaeon
Lineage: Archaea
Description: bacterial SSU rRNA
Rfam family: Archaeal small subunit ribosomal RNA
Source: RNAcentral